CUUGGUUGGUAAGGUAAUGGGCUUACCAAGGCUACGAUCUUUAGCUGGUCUGAGAGGACGAUCAGCCACAUUGGGACUGAGACACGGCCCAGACUCCUACGGGAGGCAGCAGUGGGGAAUAUUGGACAAUGGGCGCAAGCCUGAUCCAGCCAUACCGCGUGUGUGAAGAAGGCCUUCGGGUUGUAAAGCACUUUAAGCAGGGAGAAAAAGCAAUAAGUUAAUACCUUAUUGCCGUGAUGUUACCUGCAGAAUAAGCACCGGCUAAUUCCGUGCCAGCAGCCGCGGUAAUACGGAAGGUGCAAGCGUUAAUCGGAAUUACUGGGCGUAAAGCGCGCGUAGGUGGUUUGUUAAGUUGGAUGUGAAAGCCCUGGGCUCAACCUAGGAACUGCAUCCAAAACUAACUCACUAGAGUACGAUAGAGGGAGGUAGAAUUCAUAGUGUAGCGGUGGAAUGCGUAGAUAUUAUGAAGAAUACCAGUGGCGAAGGCGGCCUCCUGGAUCUGUACUGACACUAAGGUGCGAAAGCGUGGGUAGCGAACAGGAUUAGAUACCCUGGUAGUCCACGCCGUAAACGAUGACAACUAGCUGUUGGGAGACAAUGUCUUUCAGUGGCGCAGCUAACGUUUUAAGUUGUCCGCCUGGGGAGUACGGCCGCAAGGCUAAAACUCAAAUGAAUUGACGGGGACCCGCACAAGCGGUGGAGCAUGUGGUUUAAUUCGAUGCAACGCGAAAAACCUUACCUACUCUUGACAUACUUGGAAGCUCUUGUAAUGAGAGUGUGCCUUUUGGAGCCAAGAUACAGGUGCUGCAUGGCUGUCGUCAGCUCGUGUCGUGAGAUGUUCCGUUAAGUCGGAUAACGAGCGCAACCCUUACCCUUAUUUGC
RNAcentral lists this ribosomal RNA (882 nucleotides) under marine metagenome. RNAcentral describes it as "bacterial SSU rRNA". It matches the Rfam family "Bacterial small subunit ribosomal RNA", at positions 245 to 1118 of the family's 1533-position model. The record is from RNAcentral.